AAAGAGAAGCAAUACCGCGAGGUGGAGCAAAACUUCAAAAACGAUCCCAGUUCGGACUGCAGGCUGAAACUCGCCUGCACGAAGUUGGAAUUGCUAGUAAUCGCGGAUCAGCAUGCCGCGGUGAAUACGUUCCCGGGUCUUGUACACACCGCCCGUCACACCAUGGGAGCUGGUAACACCCGAAGUCAGUAGUCUAACCGCAAGGAGGACGCUGCCGAAGGUGGGAUUAGCGACUGGGGUGAAGUCGUAACAAGGUAUC
Molecule: ribosomal RNA, 259 nt
Filed under: uncultured bacterium
Lineage: Bacteria
Description: partial 16S ribosomal RNA
Rfam family: Bacterial small subunit ribosomal RNA
Source: RNAcentral